This 253-nucleotide ribosomal RNA is filed under the name uncultured bacterium. RNAcentral describes it as "partial 16S ribosomal RNA". It matches the Rfam family "Bacterial small subunit ribosomal RNA", at positions 524 to 776 of the family's 1533-position model. The record is from RNAcentral.
UACGGAGGGUGCAAGCGUUGCUCGGAAUUACUGGGCGUAAAGGGCGUGUAGGCGGUUUCGUAUGUCUGGCGUGAAAGCCCCGGGCUCAACCCGGGAAGUGCACUCGAUACUGCGUGGCUUGAGUACUGGAGAGGUUGGUGGAAUUCUCGGUGUAGAGGUGAAAUUCGUAGAUAUCGAGAGGAACACCGGUGGCGAAGGCGUCCAACUGGACAGAUACUGACGCUGAGACACGAAAGCGUGGGGAGCAAACAGG